UACGUAGGGGGCAAGCGUUAUCCGGAUUUACUGGGUGUAAAGGGAGCGUAGACGGCUUUGCAAGCCAGAUGUGAAAGCCCGGGGCUCAACCCCGGGACUGCAUUUGGAACUGUGUGGCUAGAGUGUCGGAGAGGCAGGCGGAAUUCCUAGUGUAGCGGUGAAAUGCGUAGAUAUUAGGAGGAACCCCAGUGGCGAAGGCGGCCUGCUGGACGAUGACUGACGUUGAGGCUCGAAAGCGUGGGGAGCAAACAGG
This 253-nucleotide ribosomal RNA is filed under the name uncultured bacterium. RNAcentral's name for it is "partial 16S ribosomal RNA". It matches the Rfam family "Bacterial small subunit ribosomal RNA", at positions 524 to 776 of the family's 1533-position model. The record is from RNAcentral.